AAAACACAAACCACAGAAGAAGAGAGGAGUAGGGAACGCUUACAGGCUGAGUCUCUCUGUUACCAUGGCACCAUGUCCACUGGUCAGCGCUCACACAGUGUGUCUUAGAUGAAUAGAGGGGAAACAAGAUAGCAUAAAGCUGUCACUGAUAGAAUGACCACACACACACACACUGCACCAACACACACACUGCACCAACACACACACACACACUGUACCAACACACACACACACACACACACACACACACUGCACCAACACACACACACUGUACCAACACACACACUGCCACACACUGCACCAACACACACACACACACACACUGUACCAACACACACACACACUGUACCAACACACACACACACUGCACCAACACACACACACACUGCACCAACACACACACACUGCACCAACACACACACUGUACCAACACUUGCUCACACACACAAUGUGCGUACAUACACCCACAAUCCUCUCCUCACUCCCCCACACACAGCAGCUGUCACACACAGAGGGUUGGGCUUGUUACGGGGGUGGUGUGUGUGUCAUGGCAUGUUAAAAUACCCAGGGUCUGACGUCACUAUCUGACAAACAACUCUGCCUCUAAACCCAACUACACACACAGAUCCAUGGUAGAAUUUCACCAGAGAUAAAUACUCUUCAUUCUGGAGAGGAGAAGGUGGGUCACCUGAGAUAAAUACCCUUCAUUCUGGAGAGGAGAAGGUGAGUCACUAGAGAUAAAUAUCCUUCAUUCUGGAGAGGAGAAGGUGGGUCACUAGAGAUAAACACCCGUCAUUCUGGAGAGGAGAGGAGAAGGUGAGUCACU
Molecule: long non-coding RNA, 826 nt
Organism: Oncorhynchus tshawytscha (Chinook salmon)
Lineage: Eukaryota; Metazoa; Chordata; Actinopteri; Salmoniformes; Salmonidae
Source: Ensembl